Molecule: ribosomal RNA, 305 nt
Filed under: uncultured bacterium
Lineage: Bacteria
Description: bacterial SSU rRNA
Rfam family: Bacterial small subunit ribosomal RNA
Source: RNAcentral
UUUAGUCUACGGGAGGCAGCAGUAGGGAAUAUUGCUCAAUGGGGGAAACCCUGAAGCAGCAACGCCGCGUGGAGGAUGAAGGUUUUCGGAUUGUAAACUCCUUUUGUUAGAGAAGAUAAUGACGGUAUCUAACGAAUAAGCACCGGCUAACUCCGUGCCAGCAGCCGCGGUAAUACGGAGGGUGCAAGCGUUACUCGGAAUCACUGGGCGUAAAGAGCGCGUAGGCGGGAUAGCAAGUCAGAUGUGAAAUCCUAUGGCUUAACCAUAGAACUGCAACUGAUACUGUAUAACUUGAGUGUGAGAGG